UACGUAGGUGGCGAGCGUUGUCCGGAUUUACUGGGCGUAAAGGGAGCGUAGGCGGACUUUUAAGUGAGAUGUGAAAUACUCGGGCUCAACUUGAGUGCUGCAUUUCAAACUGGAAGUCUAGAGUGCAGGGGGGGAGAAUGGAAUUCCUAGUGUAGCGGUGAAAUGCGUAGAGAUUAGGAAGAACACCAGUGGCGAAGGCGAUUCUCUGGACUGUAACUGACGCUGAGGCUCGAAAGCGUGGGGAGCAAACAGG
Molecule: ribosomal RNA, 253 nt
Filed under: uncultured bacterium
Lineage: Bacteria
Description: partial 16S ribosomal RNA
Rfam family: Bacterial small subunit ribosomal RNA
Source: RNAcentral